Molecule: ribosomal RNA, 105 nt
Filed under: uncultured bacterium
Lineage: Bacteria
Description: partial 16S ribosomal RNA
Rfam family: Bacterial small subunit ribosomal RNA
Source: RNAcentral
CCUUGUACACACCGCCCGUCAAGUCAUGGGAGUUGGGAGUACCCGAAGUCCGCUUAGCUAACUGCAAAGAAGCGGCGGCCGACGGUAAGCCCGAUGACUGGGACU